GUGUCAGCAGCCGCGGUAAUACGGAGGGUGCGAGCGUUGUUCGGAAUUACUGGGCGUAAAGCGCGUGUAGGCGGUCGGGUAAGUCAGAUGUGAAAGCCUUCCGCUUAACGGAAGAAGUGCAUUUGAGACUGCUCGGCUGGAGUUCGGGAGAGGAGAGUGGAAUUCCCGGUGUAGAGGUGAAAUUCGUAGAUAUCGGGAGGAACACCGGUGGCGAAGGCGGCUCUCUGGCCCGAUACUGACGCUGAGACGCGAAAGUGUGGGGAGCAAACAGGAUUAGAAACCCGCGUAGUCC
RNAcentral lists this ribosomal RNA (292 nucleotides) under uncultured bacterium. RNAcentral's name for it is "partial 16S ribosomal RNA". It matches the Rfam family "Bacterial small subunit ribosomal RNA", at positions 505 to 796 of the family's 1533-position model. The record is from RNAcentral.